This 736-nucleotide ribosomal RNA is filed under the name Elsinoe rhois. RNAcentral's name for it is "eukaryotic LSU rRNA". It matches the Rfam family "Eukaryotic large subunit ribosomal RNA", at positions 133 to 891 of the family's 3401-position model. The record is from RNAcentral. Lineage: Eukaryota; Fungi; Ascomycota; Dothideomycetes; Myriangiales; Elsinoaceae.
GGCGUCCGAGUUGUAAUUUGUAGAGGAUGCUAUUGGGUUGCCACCGGUCUAAGUUCCUUGGAACAGGACGUCACAGAGGGUGAGAAUCCCGUAUGUGACCGGCCAGGCGCCUUCUGUAUAGCUCCUUCGACGAGUCGGGUUGUUUGGGAAUGCAGCCCUAAAUGGGAGGUAAAUUUCUUCUAAAGCUAAAUACCGGCCAGAGACCGAUAGCGCACAAGUAGAGUGAUCGAAAGAUGAAAAGCACUUUGGAAAGAGAGUUAAAAAGCACGUGAAAUUGUUGAAAGGGAAGCGCUUGCAAUCAGCCUCGACGGCGGCUGUUCGGCCUCUCUUCUGAGUGGUUUAUUCAGUCGCCGCCGGGCCAGCAUCAGUUUUGGCGGUCGGAUAAAGGCGCGGGGAAUGUAGCUCCUCCGGGAGUGUUAUAGCCCCGCGUGCAAUACGGCCCGCCGGGACUGAGGUCCGCGCUUCGGCUAGGAUGCUGGCGAAAUGGUUGUAAGCGGCCCGUCUUGAAACACGGACCAAGGAGUCUAACAUCUACGCGAGUGUUUGGGUGUCAAACCCGUGCGCGCAAUGAAAGUGAACGGAGGUGGGAACCGCAAGGUGCACCAUCGACCGAUCCUGAUGUCUUCGGAUGGAUUUGAGUAAGAGCGUAGCUGUUGGGACCCGAAAGAUGGUGAACUAUGCCUGAAUAGGGUGAAGCCAGAGGAAACUCUGGUGGAGGCUCGCAGCGGUUCUGACG